GAGCUCCACGUAGUAAAAUGUAUUUAGUUUUUGGUUGGUUAAAAGAGGGGUUGCUCUGAUCGUAAGCAACCCCACUUCCAACCGAGAGGUUGUAAGUUCGAGUCUCCCCAAGAGCAAGGUGGGGAAAUUCUUGGAGGGAAGGAUGCCGGGGGUCUAUUUUGGAAACAGCCUCUCUACCCAAGGGUAGGGGUAAGGUCAGAUUGAAUGUCAUUUCAGGUGUAGUGGUUGCUCUGAUGGUAAGCAAUUCCCACUUCCAACGGAGAGGUUGUGAGUUUGAGUCUCCCCAAGAGCAAGGUGGGAAGUUUUUGGAGGGAAGGAUGUCGAGGGUUUAUAUGAAAACAGCCUCUUUACCCAAGGGUAGAGGUAAGGUCUGCGUACAUACUAUCCUCCCCAGACUUCAAUAAGUGAAAUUAUAUUAGGUUGUUGUUGUUGUUGGUUAAAAGAGGGGUAAAAUGGUAUUUCGAGUAAUUGAUGAUACACCGAAAAUGAGAUAAGACGGUUUAGGAGAACCGGUCCGGUCGACC
This 524-nucleotide long non-coding RNA is filed under the name Nicotiana benthamiana. RNAcentral's name for it is "long non-coding RNA (NBEN_LNC024080)". The record is from RNAcentral. Lineage: Eukaryota; Viridiplantae; Streptophyta; Magnoliopsida; Solanales; Solanaceae.